This 983-nucleotide long non-coding RNA is filed under the name Homo sapiens (human). RNAcentral describes it as "non-protein coding lnc-CENPV-4:1". The record is from RNAcentral. Lineage: Eukaryota; Metazoa; Chordata; Mammalia; Primates; Hominidae.
GAGGGAGAGGGGUUGAGUCAAGAUGGCGGCCAAGGUGGCGAAGCAGCAGCCGCGGCGGCGGCGGCGGCUGGAGUGAGCGUCCGACUCGCCGCGCCGAACGAGGUCCCGGUGUAGGGCCGCGCGCCGUGGCCGCGUCCCACUCCUCAGGCCGGGGCGCACGUCGGCUCCCACGCUUAGCCAGCUCCCGGUGGUUUCCUAGAAACAUGAUUGUUUAUUGGCAUUGAUCUCACAGUCUGGUGAGGACUUCUUUACUGAUAAUGUCAAGUUCAGGUUAUCCUCCCAACCAAGGAGCAUUCAGCACAGAACAAAGUCGUUAUCCUCCUCACUCUGUCCAGUAUACAUUUCCCAACACCCGCCACCAGCAGGAGUUCGCAGUCCCUGAUUAUCGUUCCUCUCAUCUUGAAGUGAGUCAGGCAUCACAGCUUUUGCAGCAACAGCAGCAGCAACAGCUUCGAAGGCGACCUUCCUUGCUUUCAGAAUUUCACCCAGGUUCUGACAGGCCUCAAGAAAGGAGAACUAGUUAUGAACCGUUUCAUCCAGGCCCAUCCCCAGUGGAUCAUGAUUCACUGGAAUCGAAGCGACCACGUCUGGAACAGGUUUCUGAUUCUCAUUUUCAGCGUGUCAGUGCUGCGGUUUUGCCUUUAGUGCACCCGCUGCCAGAAGGGCUGAGGGCUUCUGCAGAUGCUAAGAAGGAUCCAGCAUUCGGAGGCAAACAUGAAGCUCCAUCCUCUCCAAUUUCGGGGCAACCAUGUGGAGAUGAUCAAAAUGCUUCACCUUCAAAACUCUCAAAGGAAGAGUUAAUACAGAGUAUGGAUCGUGUAGAUCGAGAAAUUGCAAAAGUAGAACAGCAGAUCCUUAAACUGAAAAAGAAACAAGUAAAUGUCUUUGCUUAAUAUAUUCUAAGAAUGUAUGUUUGUCUCCCUACAGUAGAUAUUUUUGAGUUUUCCAUAUUUUGAAACUUUACAUAAAAGGAAUCAUGCCUU